UAAGCAACCUCACACGGCCUCGGGA
This 25-nucleotide non-coding RNA is filed under the name Rattus norvegicus (Norway rat). Lineage: Eukaryota; Metazoa; Chordata; Mammalia; Rodentia; Muridae. The record is from RNAcentral.